AAUUUCAAUCAUCCGGAAUCAUUGAUGUUUAUCGUUUCAGUUCGAUCCUAAGGGCUGUCGUGGAGGAGUGCGGGAAUGCCGAUGACCGUGUCUCUACUUCUGAGGCUGCCAAACAAUCUGCAUCACCGGAUGCCGAUGACCGUGUCUCCAUGCCAGGGUUUCUCUGGGAUGAAUCCGGUUAACCAAAGUAGCUGGAGUAAAGUUCAGUGUGAAAUGAUCCAGCCUUCUUAUCCUUUGCCGACUACUUUCGGCCAAGGUUCUUCCUGCUCGAGAAUGUGAGGAUCUUCAUGUCUUUCAACAAAGGACAGGCAUUCUGACAAACUCUAGUUUCGUAGAGCAGUCUAUGAAGCAUUCAUCAGCAUUAUACAUUGUAAG
Long non-coding RNA from Vitis riparia (riverbank grape), 375 nucleotides. RefSeq lists it as uncharacterized. The record is from RefSeq and is a predicted model, not a curated record. The transcript is spliced from 3 exons. Lineage: Eukaryota; Viridiplantae; Streptophyta; Magnoliopsida; Vitales; Vitaceae.